Erinaceus europaeus (western European hedgehog) is the source of this 355-nucleotide long non-coding RNA. RefSeq lists it as uncharacterized. The transcript has 3 exons. The record is from RefSeq and is a predicted model, not a curated record. Lineage: Eukaryota; Metazoa; Chordata; Mammalia; Eulipotyphla; Erinaceidae.
GCCCUCCAGGACCAGCAGGUUGCAAAGUGCCAGACCCUCAGCCCAGACCCAGUCCACAGCUCGGGCCCAGGGCUCAACAAGGGUGAGCCACAGAAGAAGAGAGGGAGAGAGAAAGAGACACCAGCAGCACAGCUCCACCACUUGUGCAGGUGGAGUGCAUCCUACAGAGCUGUUUAAAACAAGAAGUGGUGGAAGGCUGGAGUGCACCUGGCUCAGAGCACUAGUUACAAGCUGCUGGGUUCAAGACACGGGUCCCCAUGAAGAGGAAGAGCUUCACAAGUAGUUGAAGCAGUGCUGCAGGUGUCUCUCCUCUCUCCCUCCAUCUCCUUCACUCUACUUUUUCUGUCACUGUCCA